CGGACCUCAGAUCAGGCAAGACUACCCGCUGAGUUUAAGCAUAUCACUAAGCGGAGGAAAAGAAACUAACAAGGAUUUCCCUAGUAACGGCGAGCGAAC
This 99-nucleotide ribosomal RNA is filed under the name Siphonolejeunea nudipes. RNAcentral describes it as "Nephelolejeunea nudipes partial 26S ribosomal RNA". It matches the Rfam family "Eukaryotic large subunit ribosomal RNA", at positions 1 to 98 of the family's 3401-position model. RNAcentral also lists the same sequence under 1 other name. Lineage: Eukaryota; Viridiplantae; Streptophyta; Jungermanniopsida; Porellales; Lejeuneaceae. The record is from RNAcentral.